This is a long non-coding RNA of Papaver somniferum (opium poppy), 1981 nucleotides long. RefSeq lists it as uncharacterized. The transcript has 2 exons. The record is from RefSeq and is a predicted model, not a curated record. NCBI's taxonomy places the organism in Eukaryota, Viridiplantae, Streptophyta, Magnoliopsida, Ranunculales, Papaveraceae.
UCGAGAGACUCAUUCCUCUCAUUCGUAAAUUCCACCUGAAAUUGAGACAGAGAAGUUGGGAGAGGAAAUAAAGGCGGCUUCUGCUGUAUCACCUGAAACAGCAAAACUGAGAGAUUGAAGAGCAGAUUUCAAGAGAAGACGAAAGAUUUAUUGAUCUGGUAACACUGUUAAGAUGAUGAUGAAGUUGUUGUUGAUCUCAGAGAGGAUUGAAUGUUGAUUUGAAUCACAAAUUAAUGAAGAAAAGAUGGGUUUCUACCAUGACCAGAUCGAGAAAUUGAGAGAUGAUGAAGGGAUUAAAGAAGAUGAAUCUGCUGGUGAAGAUGGAUGUUGUGAAUCGAAGAGCUGAAAUUGAAUUAAGGGUUUGAGUUUGUUUGAGAACGAGAAGACCCUGAUGCUGUUGAUUCGGAGAUGAAGAAAUCUAGGGUUUGGUGGAUGUAUCCGCUGCUAAAAAUGGGUUCUCGCCAAACUGAAAUUGUGGUAGUGAUUGAUUGAAAUUAUGGUGUUUGCUUCUAAAGCUGAAAUGGACCUGGUAAUACAAAGGAACUGAAAUUGAGAUGCAGAGAGCAAAGGGAGAAAGAACUGGUACCAUGUGAAAGCUGGUGAUGUUGGUGCUUGUGUGGUUGGGAGAAGACAGUCCUGCUACUGCCAUUGAUGGGUAUGACUCAGUUGAAGUCACGAGCAGAUGCAGGAGAAGUUGAUACUGGUUCCAAAUUGGCUGUGGUGUUACUGCAGUGGACCAAAGCCGAAGGAGAAGUUGCAAAAACAGUUUGCAAGUCAGAUGGCAGGAGUAAGUUGAAGUUCAGAUGCUGGGAGUUGGUUUGCAGUGGAAGCAGGCAGUGUUACUAAGGGUUAUGAAGCAGCAGAAGUUGGUUGUGUUGAGUUGCUGCUUAUGGUGGAUGAAUAUGCUGCUCAGAUGGCAAGAGAACAAGAAAGGGGUUGUAGCUGUGUGUGCAAUGGGAAGCAGCUGUUGCAGGAACAAGAAUUGAUGGCAACUGGAUCUUAACUGAGAUGACUCUGGUGGCAUUGGACUGUGAAUGGUUUGAGAUUACAGCUGAGUUUAGCUAGUGAGCUAUAUUGCAAAGAAUGGACUUGGUGUUGCUGUUGAAUUCAAGUAAGAAGCUGAUGCAAGCAGGAAGCCACAGAAGGUGAAUGAAGAGGUUGGUUUUGAGCUGGACUUGUGCAGGCAGAGGUGGUUACAAUGCAACUGGUAGAUAUGCUGUAAUGUUUGUGCUUGAAGUAACAAAUGAAGCUGCAGUCCAAGUGAAGAUAAGAAAGUAUUGCAGGUAAUGGAAUUGGAAGGCUGUGACAGAAUGGCUCAAGAUGCUGUUGUUGUUGCAGUAAUGACUAGAACAUGAAGCUGAAAUGGUGCAGCUGGUUGUGGAGAUGAUGCAGUUGCCAUUGAUAGUCACGAGUUGUGUAUGAAGUUAAUGAUCGCAGAGAAGAAAAAGGAAAAGAAUGGAAGCUGCAGUUGUUUGAGUUAUGGAUUACAGGGAGUGAAGCGAAUGAAUGAAACUAUAGAUAGAUGUAUGUUAGGGAAUUGUUGCAGGGAAAGAAGAAUGACCUGAACUUGGCCUGAGAGAUGCCCUGAAUAUAAACAGAACUCGGCCAAUGCCCGAUCCAAGCGAGUUGACCCAGCGAUCCAGGUGAUGACCAGUUUUCAGGUGACCGACGGCAAGAUUCCGUCGAUGGCGUCAGCAAUUCCGCCGAACACUUUUGGACAGAGAUUUUCAUACGGGUAUUAUCCACACAUGGGCUUGGUUGACUAAUUGGAGAUGAGUUUUGAGAAGACCUAAUAUCCUUUUGGAAGCGGAGAAGCAUAUAAAUAGAAAACUUUUUCUCUAAACCUAGAUAUCUCCAUAAGGGAGACUACUACUUGCUUUCUAGGGUUUCACAUGAUAGAUUCUUCUAAACUCUUUGUGAUGAUUUCCAAAAACCCAAGUAGUUGAUUUAUUUUUAUUGGUUGAAGAUGUAGUUUGAUUUU